UGGGACCUUUAAGUAAUAACAUGAAGGGCUUUUUGGUGUGUGGGGAAAGUUUCCUGCAGGUUGGUGUGGUGGGAAGGACUGAGGGAACUCAUUGCCUCAGUAUUUCUAAAAUUCUUGCUGCAGCCCUGAAAAGACUGCAAAAUGCAGAAAAAAAGAUCACUUAUUAUUACCACCUAUACAGCAUGUUGACUGACCAGCAACACACAAACACACACACACGUGCAUGAACCCUGCAGGGUUGGACACACCUUCAUCAGCUGCAGCAGCUGAAGCUGCAGCGUCUCUGUUUCCUCUGCUGUCAGCGGAGGGCGACAGAGGGAGGUGUUCCCCCUUUUCCCGGUUCUCAAGAUUUCCCUCAGUCUACAAUAAACUUUCAUUUUGGGGGAAGUCGACACACACACAUACAUACAUGCAGCAUACACACACACACACACACACACACACACACAACGGCGGUCGUCAUCUUGUCCUGCAACUGAAAGCUGCACAAAACCUGACUGGACGUUCAUUGUGCGAAAUUAAGGAGGAAGGAAACAAACAAACACAAGGAAGCGCACAGGUGGAGCGUCUCAUCUUCUGGAAGGACACUACUGGGACAAGAAGAGACAAGAAGAGACAAGAAGACAAUGACAGAAAGAAGCAGCGUUUUCACUGCAGGCUAAUGUUGCGUUUGUGGGUUGUUUGCUUUCUCUAAAACGUUCAACUCCUCGAGGAGCACCUGGUUAUGGAAAAACUUUCUCUGCCUCGUCUCUGGACUUGUAGUAGUAAAAACUCCUAAAGAAAGCAUGAAGUAACCGCGAUGGAGCCGGACAAUGCCCCGUACUCCAAACUGAAAAGCACUGGAGUCGGGGGGAGAGUUCUGAUUCUUUGGGCUAUACUCUGUUGCACCUGCUCUUUAAAGCUCGCACAAGCACAAGAUGUGGAUGUUCUGCAGCAGCUCGGGCUUUCUGGGCGAAGAUCAGGCGGGUCGGCAUCUUCAGGCGCUCGAUCCAUCCCUAAUGGCAUCAUCCCCUUCAAGUCUGGAGUUAUCCUCACCCCGAGGGCACGCGUCCAGGUGCCUCUGCGCACUGUUAUCCCCGCUACCUACAGCUCCACCAAUCUCUCCCUGAUCCUCAGCCUGUCUGUUCACCGCGUCAACAGCGCCUUUCUCUUCUCAGUGCUGUCUAAGAAAAGGAAAGUGCAGCUCGGAGUGCAGUUCGCACCGGGGUCGAUCCUGGUCCAUGUGGGACCGAGGAGCUCUGUGAGCUUCGACUAUGAUGUCCACGAUGGCCAGUGGCACAGUCUGGCCUUGGAUAUCCAAGGCCACCGGGUGUUCUUACACACUUCUUGCGGAGAGAGAAGUGUACAUGCAGAUUUGCAUUCAAAAAAAGAGGAGGCCCUGGACGCAGAGGGCUCCUUCCUGCUGGGCAAAAUGAACCACAACUCGGUGCCGUUUGAAGGCGCCAUUUGUCAGUUUGACAUUUAUCCCUCUGCCAAGGCAGCUCAUAACUAUUGUGAUUACAUUAAGAAACAUUGCAGAGAAGCCGACACGUAUCGGCCCGUGUUUCCAGCCCUGCUACCUCUACUUUCCAUAGACCCAAACAUCACUGUCACUCAUAUAACUCCACUGUCUUUGACAGAGAUAUCCAAAAAGGCCCAGAGACCUGCUUUGGCCUCGACUGAGGAAAACACCAGGACUACGAUUCUUGUUCCAACUGACAGCUCGCUGAUGCAGAACAAAACAUCUGUGUAUCAGACUGUGAGCACUCCAAAACCUGACGCUGUGGCUGUUUCUCCGCCGCUUCAUCCGGGCUGGGAAAGUCUGUUUAGUUUUCUGACUCAAACUGCUUCUACAUCUCUUAGGAUCAGCAGGACGCAACCAAAACCCAAACCAACUUCACAUGGCAGUGCUGGAGGGAACACAAAGAAAGGAGAUACUAAUUCUCAGAAACCUUCUGGUGAAAGAAUGGAUUUACCUGCUUCGACCCGACCGUCCGAGAUGCAGCCAAACCUCCACACCACAGCUGCGUCCACGCAGGGGGCUCCUUCAAACGUCGACCUCCAGCAGAAACAGCAGUUGACCACAGUAGCUCCAAAGAAACCUGAGCCAAAGGUGACCAGCGUGCAGGAUGUCAAACCCACCUCACUUAUUCCAGUCACUCCAGCUGCAACAGAUGGCUUUCAAACAUUUGACCUGGAACCGACCCAGUUCUCACUGCUGGCUGGACCACCUGGACUAAAGGGAGAACCAGGACCGCCGGGCCUUCAAGGACUUCCAGGGUUGCCAGGAAAGCCAGGAAAGAGGGGCCCAAGGGGUCCUCCCGGCCCACAUGGAAACCCUGGUCGUUCCGGACCUCCUGGAGUGAAGGGACAAAAAGGAGAUUAUGGACUGUCACCUGGUCAAGCCCCAAAAGGACUAAAAGGUGAGCCUGGUGUCACGGGCCCCCCCGGACUGCAUGGCCAAGAUGGACGAAAGGGACAAAAAGGUCAUCCUGGUCCUUCUGGUCUCCCGGGUGAACCUGGUGAACGGGGAGAUGAUGGAAGCCUCGGGGCCAAAGGCUAUCCUGGCAGGCAGGGUUUACCCGGACCUGUAGGGAAAAUGGGGCCAAAAGGAGUCAGGGGUCACAUUGGCAUCCCUGGGCUUUUUGGCCUUCUUGGUCCUGAUGGCGAGAGAGGAAUUCCUGGCGUUCAUGGGAAGAAGGGCAAGAUGGGUAGGCCGGGGUUUCCUGGUGACUUUGGAGAGAGGGGACCUCCUGGCCCUGAUGGGAACCCAGGUGAGCUGGGAUCUCCUGGUCCGUGUGGAGUCUCUGGUCUUAUUGGAGACAUGGGCCCUAUUGGCAUUAUGGGCUUCCCAGGACCUCCAGGACUCAAGGGAGUACCUGGAAACCCAGGGGAACCAGGACUGAAAGGUGAUAAGGGGGACGUUGGCUUACCAGGGGAGCCGGGGGAGAGUGGAUUCCAAGGGGACAAGGGUAUGCGUGGCUCACCUGGGUUGCCAGGUCCUUGUGGAAUACCUGGGCCACAGGGCAAACCUGGUGAGCUGGGUCCUGAUGGUAUACCUGGUCCUCCUGGCCCAGAGGGUUUUCCAGGUGACAUUGGCCCACCAGGACUAAACGGCCCCGAAGGACCCAAGGGAAAGCAGGGGACAAGAGGGUUGCCAGGUCCAAGGGGAACACCUGGACUUCAGGGUGAUGAGGGACCAUUUGGGCCCGCUGGACUCGCUGGACUCGAGGGCAGACCUGGGAGGCAGGGGUUCCCUGGACUGACAGGCCCAGAUGGACUCAAGGGCGAGACCGGGAUAACUGGCGAGGUUGGAAAGCUUGGCGAGAGGGGACUGCCUGGUUUUGUCGGGCCUGUUGGAGAGAGCGGCAUCGCGGGAGAAAAGGGGGAUCGAGGCAAAACAGGCGCCCCCGGGCCGCCAGGUGAAACGGGGCCGAUGGGUCACACUGGAAUACCUGGAGCGUCGGGGCCACCUGGACUGCAAGGGAUCCCAGGGCCUCCUGGUUCACUGGGAUCCAUCGGCAUCAGAGGACCCAAAGGCAGGGGGGGUCUGAGGGGUCCUGAUGGCCCUGUGGGGGCAAAAGGGUCCACUGGAGUAAAGGGCCCUGAUGGUCCACCAGGAAAAUUGGGCCUCCCCGGGGAGAUGGGAAGGCUUGGCGAGCCAGGUGAAGCUGGGCCUAAGGGAUUUCCAGGUAUUCAAGGACCCUCUGGAUCUCCAGGGGCCAAAGGAAUUGAAGGAGAGCCAGGACCAGCAGGGCCACCAGGAACGAUUGGGCCACUGGGGGAGAUGGGGCUAAGGGGUCUGCCGGGGAAGGCUGGAGACAGAGGACUGCCUGGUGAACCGGGAGAUAAGGGUGACGUUGGUCUACCUGGCAACAUCGGGGAGCAGGGUUUGAAUGGCCAGAGAGGUGAGCCAGGCAUUGAUGGGGAGGCUGGACUAAGUGGACCUGAUGGAGCCAAGGGUGACAAGGGGGAUGCUGGUCAAGAAGGCGGUAAAGGAGAAAGGGGUGAAAUCGGUCUGAAAGGAAAAGAAGGACCCCUUGGGCCUCCCGGAUUGGUCGGUGUGAGGGGUCAGGAGGGUAAACCUGGCAAAAUUGGUGAAAGAGGAAAACCAGGAGAAAAGGGGAGCAAAGGUCACCAAGGUCACCUGGGUCAGUCCGGGCCGACCGGCGAGCAGGGAGAGACGGGGUUUGUCGGACAGAAGGGAGCGAGAGGAACCAUCGGGCCAGUGGGUGCUCCGGGGAGAAUGGGCCAACAAGGAGAUCCAGGCAUAUCAGGUUACGAGGGUCACACGGGACCGCAGGGCCCCCUGGGACCUCCUGGGCCAAAAGGUGAAAAGGGUGAACAGGGAGACGACAGCAAGGUCGAAGGUCCUCCAGGUCCCCAAGGUGACAGAGGUCCUGCUGGAAACAGAGGAGACAGAGGAGAGCCUGGUGACCCCGGACACAUUGGUCAAAUAGGUGUUGAUGGAAAGAGAGGUGAAGCUGGUGCCCCAGGGCUUCCUGGACAUCCUGGACCAAAGGGACAACCAGGGCUGAAAGGACCCAAAGGUGACCAAGGUCGGAAAGGAAAAUCAGGGGCGAGAGGCACAUCUGGAACCAAAGGACCUCCAGGUCCAGAGGGUCCUCUCGGCCCACGGGGAGUUGUGGGCAGGGGGGGACUUGAGGGUCCGCCUGGCAUGGAUGGACUGCCCGGUAAAGAUGGAACUAAAGGAGUCAAGGGGGAGCAAGGAGAAGACGGAGCUGUGGGCUUAACUGGCAAACCUGGGCAGCAGGGUACAACUGGUGUGACGGGGCUUCCUGGAAGUCAAGGCUACUUUGGGCCAAAGGGUGAGAGGGGUCUUUCAGGCCAAACUGGUGCAUCAGGAAAAAAAGGCUUUAUUGGCGGGAUGGGAUUGCCAGGAAAACAAGGAGACCAGGGACCUAAAGGACAACCAGGGGAUGCUGGUGGACAAGGAUUUCCAGGGGUGUUUGGUCUGUAUGGACCAAAGGGACCCCUGGGAGACAUUGGCCCAGCAGGGAUACAGGGACCAAAAGGACCACGUGGUUUGUUGGGUAUGGAGGGAGCUUUGGGCCCCGUUGGCAUCAUUGGCCCCAGCGGUCAUUCUGGACCCAAGGGUGACAAAGGAAGUCGGGGGGAGACGGGGUUGCAAGGACCAAGGGGAUUUCGUGGCCCCAGUGGACCACCUGGACCACCAGGUCUUCCCAGUUCUGUCCUCUCACUUAGAAAUGAGGCUCUUGGUGCCGCCUUUCAAGUCAUCAUCGAUUCCCAUGCUGCAAUGAGGCCAGAGCAGAACUAUCAGAGCAUGGACCCACCCAUGUUAGACCAGGGCACAGAGAUCUUCAAGACCUUACAGCAUCUCAGCACCCUGAUCCAGAGUCUUAAGAACCCGCUGGGAACCCGUGACAACCCUGCACGGAUCUGCCGAGACCUGUACAACUGUGAACAGAGGAUGCACGAUGGCACUUACUGGAUCGACCCAAACCUCGGCUGCGCUGCUGACACUAUUGAGGUGAUGUGCAACUUCACUAGUGGAGGACAGACUUGCCUGAAGCCGAUCACAGUAUCCAAGUUGGAGAUGGGAGUGGGUCGUAUCCAGAUGAACUUCAUCCACCUUUUGAGCACCGAGGCCGUGCAGCACAUCACCAUUCACUGCCUCAACACACCUGUGUGGGCAGCAGGACCCUCCCUGCAACCUUCAUCCAGGGCUGUGAGCUUCAAGGCCUGGACGGGGGAGAAGAUUCAGGCAGGCGACCUCCUGGAGCCGCUCAUACCCCGGGACGACUGUUGGAUCAAAGAUGGCCGCUGGCAUCAGACCCACUUCAUCUUCCAGACCCAGGACCCAAACUUACUCCCCAUCGUGGACGUGUACAACCUGCCGACCGCAGACCCCGGCGCACGCUAUCACCUCGAGGUCGGACCCGUGUGCUUCUUAUAGGGGGCCCUGAGGAGGGGCCGAGAAUGCUCCUCAAAGGAGCGACUGCAUGGAGGAGGGUGGACGGAGGGGAGACUAACGCUUCUGUGGUUUCCACAACAACGGACCUCCAUUUUUCUCUCCGCAAAAUAUGCUUGGACUGCAGAACCAGGAGGGGGCGCCAGAGAGAGAAGGCCCCGUUGAGAAUGCAGAGACUUCUAGCACUAAUCAGCCUAUGGAAAAUAAUAAUAAGCUUCUUUUUUUCAGAGACUUGUUUUGUGUGAUACAAGACCUGAAUGCCCCUUUUUGGAAGGAAGUAUUAUGAUCUCUCGGACCAUGUUGUAUCAUAUUUUCUUCGCGGCCUGAUACCCUGAUAACCUAGAACGUUUUUAAAAAGUGAUCUGUACAGAAAUAUGGAACAGUUACAUCUGCAAUUGAAAUAAUUUGUAUUUUAAUGUUUAAGUAUUAUUUAUACAUGUAUAUGUACUGUAUAUUGUAAUAUAAAGUGCAAUAGUUAUUGUUCCACAGCCUUUAGGCAUAUACAGUUUCAACAUCAUAUCACUCAUUCAGGUAUACGGUGUGCCUCAGACACACAGGCGCGCUGUCUCCAGGUAAGUCUUUUUGAACCGACUGUCUAGUGCUGAGAGGCCCCGUGUUUUUAUACAGAUAUCCGUACACAAACAACUGCUGUGUGGUGCUGUCCGUGUUAAAAUGGAUCCCAGCUUUUCACAGUGUGAACCCGAGAAAAGUGUGUCAAGAUGCUACCUCGUACUGCACCUCUCAUCUCGCAGACAAAAACAAGAUGUUACCGGAUAUAAUCUGGGAUGACACGGAGGCGACACCUGGUGCUGCAACGGUUGACACUCGUAUGAUAAACUCUUGUCAGCUUCUCAGCAAAGCUACGUCUGCGCUUUUUUACCAAAAAAAGGGAAGGUUGUAAAAAAAUAUACACGCAGGCCAAAUUCAUUAAAUUAUAUUUUCAAGGUUUCAAGUAUUUUAAACGUUUUCAAUAUUCUUUGUACUGUCUGACACUAUAAGUUAAGUUUUUGUAUCUGUCAAAAUGUCUAUAAGUAUGCAACCUUUAUUAUCUACGUUGGAUUCUAUUUAAAUUUUAUUUAAAUUCUGAUUAGCUUUCCAGUUCAAAACCAGGCAUCAACGUCAUAUUUUUAGGAGCUUUAAGGAUUCUACAGUCUGUUUUUUUAUUCUAAUUAAAUCGUCCUAGACAAUCAACUGUAUUUACUGUUUAUGCAUUCGUCACUCAAAGGUGCAGCGAUGGCGGUUGGUCCGGCCAAUCUAUAAACUCAGAGGAUUUCUUACAACACACAACACUACCACAGUACAUGAGCUAACUGUUUGGUCUGUACAGACAUUUUAUGCUGCGUGAAUGAAGUCAAACGACUUAACAGGUAAUUCAAUAAAAGUCUGAAACAU
Molecule: RNA transcript, 7324 nt
Organism: Sebastes umbrosus (honeycomb rockfish)
Lineage: Eukaryota; Metazoa; Chordata; Actinopteri; Perciformes; Sebastidae
Gene: col27a1b
Gene name: collagen, type XXVII, alpha 1b
Exons: 62
Source: RefSeq, a predicted model, not a curated record